GGAUCAUGGCUCAGGAUGAACGCUAGCUACAGGCUUAACAUAUGCAAGUCGAGGGGCAGCAUGAACUUAGCUUGCUAAGUUUGACGGCGACCGGCGCACGGGUGAGUAACACGUAUCCAACCUUCCGUUUACUCAGGGAUAGCCUUUCGAAAGAAAGAUUAAUACCUGAUAGUAUGGUGAGAUUGCAUGAUAACACCAUUAAAGAUUUAUUGGUAAACGAUGGGGAUGCGUUCCAUUAGGUAG
Molecule: ribosomal RNA, 243 nt
Filed under: uncultured bacterium
Lineage: Bacteria
Description: partial 16S ribosomal RNA
Rfam family: Bacterial small subunit ribosomal RNA
Source: RNAcentral